UCUGAUCUCGGAAUGAUUAAAUUAAAAAAUAAGAGGGAUUCUAAAAAAUAGCACCAAUUGAAGUUUUUCUUCCACACUUACCACACACUCUCAUCUUGUCCAAAAUUAGCACAAAUAAUCUAAUUAAUAUUGAAACACAAAAAAAUAUUAAUUAAGUACCUCUCUCCUACAUGCUUUCCUCGACCAAGUGAAAAUUACGCGCCUCUCCUCCACGUACCACCACCGUCUUGUUGUUAAUUGCUUAUACAAGAUCGGAUCUUCAAAAAAAUUGCCGGUGAUCAAUUGAUGUAGCCAUGUCUAAUGCCAUCCACAGUUCUGAGAUAUCACAGAUGAUUGAAUUGGAAGUUGAAUUCAAUUUUGAGAAGCUUCUCUAUCAGAUAAUCAGAUCUCUCGCUCCUCUUCUCUCUAGUGCGUACACUUCCUACUUCGUUUUUGUGUAUAUUUUGAAUCACCGAGAAUGAUAUUCAAUUCGUUGCUUUUGUUUUGUUGUGAAGGUUAAGCCUAAGGCCAAUGAGUCUCGAGGUCAUGGACGCCUAGGAUACGUCAUGGAGGAGGAGCUAAAUGAUCCAAUUGUAGAGAAAGAAGAAGAAUUUCAAUUCGGUGAGAAGGUCAUGGUACGUUGUCGGAUAUGUGGAUAGGAAAUUAAUCAGAGGGAUCUGAUUCUAAGGAAGCUGGAAUUGAGAAGGACCAUUCGUAAAAACUAAAACAAAAAGUAAUUCUUUUUUUUUUUUUUUUUGUAAACCAACAAAAAGUAAUUCUAUUUUUCAUUCCAAACACUAAUUUUUCUUUACUCGUCUGAUCCCCAAUUUCUUUACCGUCGUUACUCUCCGGCGGUCGUGAAUCAACAACCGCAACCAUCCCGGGUUUCCACGACCCUUCUGUUUUCCCAAACACCUAGCUACACCGCCGCCGUCGCUGUGUGAGUGUCUACCGUCAACCAAAUUGACAUCCCUGCCCUCCGACUUGCAAUUUUGCCACAAACCCCGCACCCAACGCCUUCUGUCAACAAUCUGCCGUCUCGACUAUUCCCUACCGCUACUUCCCGUCGCCUUACUGUGGUCCCAUUACAGAUGCCUUCAAACCGUCGCAUAACAAGGUUUUUAUACCUUGUCCUGAUGCCCCUUCGUCUUCCAACCACCCCCGCAAUGUUAUGCAUCUACAAACUAUUCUUCAGACUGGGACAAGUUUCUCCCUCCUCGAAUAAUACAUCGUCUGGACAUAACUUCGUGGCCAAUAAGGAUUCGUGAACAUUUGGACAUUGUUUUACCAUAACAAAAUUAUAAUGGACUGUGUAGGUGUGAAUUACAA
Molecule: long non-coding RNA, 1308 nt
Filed under: Capsella grandiflora
Lineage: Eukaryota; Viridiplantae; Streptophyta; Magnoliopsida; Brassicales; Brassicaceae
Description: long non-coding RNA (CGRA_LNC001677)
Source: RNAcentral